This 434-nucleotide ribosomal RNA is filed under the name uncultured Oscillospiraceae bacterium. RNAcentral describes it as "bacterial SSU rRNA". It matches the Rfam family "Bacterial small subunit ribosomal RNA", at positions 341 to 792 of the family's 1533-position model. The record is from RNAcentral. Lineage: Bacteria; Bacillati; Bacillota; Clostridia; Eubacteriales; Oscillospiraceae.
ACGGGAGGCAGCAGUGGGGGAUAUUGCACGAUGGGGGAAACCCUGAUGCAGCAAUGCCGCGUGAGGGAAGACGGUCUUCGGAUUGUAAACCUAAGUAGUCAGGGACGAUAAUGACGGUACCUGAAAAGUAAGCUCCGGCUAACUACGUGCCAGCAGCCGCGGUAAUACGUAGGGAGCAAGCGUUGUCCGGAUUUACUGGGUGUAAAGGGUGCGUAGGCGGGUUUGCAAGUCAGGCGUGAAAUACCGGGGCUUAACUCCGGGGCUGCGCUUGAAACUGUAGAUCUUGAGUGAAGUAGAGGCAGGCGGAAUUCCCAGUGUAGCGGUGAAAUGCGUAGAUAUUGGGAGGAACACCAGUGGCGAAGGCGGCCUGCUGGGCUUUAACUGACGCUGAGGCACGAAAGCAUGGGGAGCAAACAGGAUUAGAUACCCUGGUA